Molecule: ribosomal RNA, 253 nt
Filed under: uncultured bacterium
Lineage: Bacteria
Description: partial 16S ribosomal RNA
Rfam family: Bacterial small subunit ribosomal RNA
Source: RNAcentral
UACGGAGGGUGCGAGCGUUAUUCGGAAUUACUGGGCGUAAAGCGCGUGUAGGCGGGGAGGCAAGUCUGAUGUGAAAGCCCCGGGCUUAACCUGGGAAGUGCAUUGGAAACUGCAUUUCUUGAGUGCUGGAGAGGAAGGGGGAAUUCCCGGUGUAGAGGUGAAAUUCGUAGAGAUCGGGAGGAAUACCAGUGGCGAAGGCGCCCUUCUGGACGGCAACUGACGCUGAGACGCGACAGCGUGGGGAGCAAACAGG